This is a long non-coding RNA of Callithrix jacchus (white-tufted-ear marmoset), 2264 nucleotides long. RefSeq lists it as uncharacterized. The record is from RefSeq and is a predicted model, not a curated record. NCBI's taxonomy places the organism in Eukaryota, Metazoa, Chordata, Mammalia, Primates, Cebidae.
UCUCAGCUCAAAAUCUCCUGAAACUGAUAAGCAAUUUCAGCAAAGUCUCAGGAUACAAAAUCUUCAUGAGGUCAUGUUUUCCUGGCUUGUCUUCAUGCUUGUAGAUGUUUGUCUGUGUCUGGAUACUGAAGAGUUAUUUACUGUAGUCGUCACUGUCUGGGCAUGUUUGUACCUGUCCUUCUUGGAAAGGUGCUCCCAGAUAUUCAAAAGGACUUGGGUGUUGUGAUCUAAGCUGUAUCUACUUUAAGGGCACCCCAAACCUAGUAAACCUUUUGUUCUUCCAGAUUCAGAGAGGUAGCACCUUGAUGGUCUUGGACAAGAUCUGGGAGAAUUCUCAGAAUCAACAGGCAGAGACUCUUGUUCUCUUCCCAUUCCUUUCUCCAAAUCAAAUAGAAUUUCUUUCUUUGCUCUGAGCUACCUGAAGCUGGGGGUGGAAUGUCACAAGCAACCUGUGACCACCACCAUUGUGACUGUGCUAUGUUAGACCUGAAGCCAGCACAAUACUGGUCUUGCCCAAGGACUGCUCAAACCAACUCCCUGGCUGCUGUUUAUGUUUGCUCAAGAGUCUGAGAUUUUACAAUCAGCAGGUGACAAAGCCAGCUAUCCUUGUGUCCUUUCCUUCAGGGUCACAAGUUCCCUCAGGCCCUGGAUAAGUCCAGAGGUGCUGUUCAGGAGACAGAGACUAGAGGAAAAAUCCUUAGAUGUCAACCUUGUGUUCUAUUGCACUGCAGCUGAACUGGCAGUCAAACCACCAGAUGCAGUCCUUCCCAUUCUUCCCUCCCCUUUCCAAAGACAAAGAAACCUCAGCCUGUGGCCGUCACUUCCACAGCCCCAAAGGGAAUACUGCCAGACUACCACUCAUGUUCCUUUAAGGCUCAAGAGCUCUUCAGUCUGCUUCUGUACACAGAAACCUCUCUGGACCACUCUGGCGCUGCUGCCAGGGGAUGGGAAAAGGAUGGUGUCAGUGAUUCAAGACUGUUUUUCUACCUUUUCUGUGCCUGCUUCAGCAAUAUGAAGUUAAAAUCAGAUACCGAGUCUUUCUGAGGAUAUGACGCCAAGAAAAACAGAUGACUUAGAAUGUGGGAAAUGCAAGAUAUGCAAUUCGCUUGGAGGAAAGUGGAAGGUACUCUAUUUGCAACAGAGAGUGGAAGCUGCUAAUGUGCCAAGAAAUUUAUAACUUACAAGUUAAGUUGUCCAUAUAUGAAGUAGACAUCAAAGGAUACAAUAAAGCUGUGGUGUAUAUUUUGAAUUCUAUCAUUGUCAACCUUGUGAAUUUCUAAAAUUUAACUAAGAUACAAAUGUUUAGAUUCUAUUCCUCCAGAGAAGACGAAAGAUGGUUGGAGGAUUUUCUCCCUUUGGAUGUGGAGCACCAGUGUCACAAUUACUUUCUUGAGAGGAUACUUCUCCCAACUGUGUUUACAUCACAGGUCGUGGGCAUUAUAUACUGACAAGAAUUCACCAGGCUCUUGGCAAGACAUAAAAAAAAUCAUUUUUUCUUUUAUGCUCUGUUGUAUCUUUCUACACUUAGUAACAACUAUUCUCCAAUAACACGAGGUUUCUGCUCUCUGAUUUACUUGACCAGCAAAGCAAUGUGGGUCUCAUUGUAAUACAUGCUUUGUUCUAACAGUAUUAUUUUUGUGGGGUAGAUGUGUUAGCAUUAAGAUACUGAUUUUUCUUAGACUAGGGUUUAAUGUUAUAGUAAAAGGCAAAGGAAUGCUGGAUUGAUGAAACUUGUUUCUUGGAGUAUAGGGAAAAUUAAAAAAUAAACUAUUAGGAAAAAUAAGUACAAUCUUGCGGUCUAUGAUUCUAAAAGCAAAUUGUUGCUAUGAGGGAUAAGAGAUUCAAAAAAUAAGUUUCUACUUUAAAUUCCUGAAAAAAUAUCAAUCACUGUAAAAAGAGAGGGCCUGUAGAAGUUAUUUAUAACUAUAGUAGAUAAUCUUUGAUAAAUCUAAUAGACACGUGUGCACAUGGAAGAAAGGCCUAUGAAUAAAGAUGAAAGAUAUAAACGCUGUUUUUUAGAGUAGUUAGAGCUGAGGAUAAACUAAAAUUCACACAGUUGCUAGAGAAAUAUUAAACUUCUAAGUUGUAUUUUGAAGAGCAUGGGGCAGACAACUCUUCUGCUGAACAUUACGGAAUACUCAUAGAUGAGUUAGAAUAGAGAACUUUAAUUUUACAUGAAGAAGAGAAAUACUAAAAUUGGAAAGGGCAGGUCAUAGUGUGUUAUGGAGAAACUGAAAUCUCAGGAAGGAGAGGAGGGAGCAUCU